Molecule: long non-coding RNA, 1277 nt
Filed under: Oncorhynchus kisutch (coho salmon)
Lineage: Eukaryota; Metazoa; Chordata; Actinopteri; Salmoniformes; Salmonidae
Description: lncRNA (ENSOKIG00005046540.1)
Source: RNAcentral
AUGAUGGGUAUGAUGAGCGCAACCGAGCUGGACUGCAAGGAUGCACUGGCUCCUUUGGGAAUGUUGUUCUUGGUGACAUCGGGCAUCUUGGUCAUGUUGGAACUCGCACCGCCAGCUCUGGUCGUAGCAUUCAUGGCAGGGGACUGUGUGGUAGUGUUUUGCGCCGGGCAUCUUGGUCAUGUUGGAACUCGCGCCGCCAGCUUCGGUCAUAGCAGUCACGGCAGGGGACUUUGUGGUAGUGUUUUGCGCGUGGACCUAAAACAAGCAUGGGAGCGUCACUGACUGAGCAUUGGCCACAAAGUUCACAUGUGAAACUAUUUAAAAAUUAAAUAUGAAACAUUUGACAAAUCGGCACAAUUCCCAAUACAUCAUACUUUCGUCCGACUAAUUUCAAGCUGCAAAAAAACGCAUGCGUAAAGUUAAGAUCUAGCCUACAUAAGGUGUAGGUAGUCCUGUGCCUAAGAAAAUAACCCCACGGCAAAUAUGUUUCCCAAACAAAAUGCACUUCAAAUAAAAUGUCAUUAAAUUAAAUCGAGCCCUCACCUUGUGGGAAAUGUGUUCAUAGCAUAUAGGUCAACUGUAAUUCCUGGAUUCAAAAUUGCGACCCCUAAGGCACGUUAGAUUUCGAAUACAUUUUGGCGUUAUAAUUAGACUCAUCUGAGGAGAAGUAGCCACGCCAUCAUUAGGUUCUCAAUGAGAAAACCCACCAAUAGCCAAUAAACCCUAAAUUUAGAUUCAGUAUGAUCCAUUUAUGGUUUCAAAAGCCAAUGUUGCACCUGUUGAAAUGCAUGUAUUAUACACAAUGGACACUAAUUAAAACAGAUUAGAAACAAACAUGGUAAAGUGUAAGUCAAUUCAUAAGACCUUAACCUACCUGUGAUGAACAAGGCAAGGCAAGGAGAAUGAAUCCAAUGUAAGCCGUCAACAGUUUAGCCAUUUUGUUGUCGGUUUCUUUCUCAGCCGCUUAGUGUCACUGUCCUGUCGAUGGCUUUUCACAGUGAAUGACUGGAGGACAAAUCUAAGGGAUUUUAUACCCCCACCAGUGACGUCAGGUCAAAAAGGCGCAUCCCCAAAACCACCUGUCUUAUCCUCCAAUGGAAACCUACACUUUAUCCGAAACCUCAUCAUAAACCACACCACUAAGACCUCUUCUUUGACAAAAUAUAAGGGUGUGACUUUCAGCAAUACAAAUACUUGCCUUUGUUUUAUUAAUAAUGGGCUUUUUUUAGGCCUAUAUGCCUGUAACGGUCAAUGAAUAUCCCUAUUAAUUCACAGGU